Betta splendens (Siamese fighting fish) is the source of this 119-nucleotide ribosomal RNA. Lineage: Eukaryota; Metazoa; Chordata; Actinopteri; Anabantiformes; Osphronemidae. The record is from Ensembl.
GCUUACAGCCAUACCACUCUGACCACGCCCAAUCUCAUCUGAUCCCGGAAGCUAAGCAGGGAUGGGCUAGGUUAGUACUUGGAUGGGAGAUAGCCUGGGAAUACCAGGUGCUGUAAGCU